This 75-nucleotide transfer RNA is filed under the name Candidatus Omnitrophota bacterium. RNAcentral describes it as "tRNA-His". It matches the Rfam family "tRNA". Rfam says of the family: Transfer RNA (tRNA) molecules are approximately 80 nucleotides in length. Their secondary structure includes four short double-helical elements and three loops (D, anti-codon, and T loops). Further hydrogen bonds mediate the characteristic L-shaped molecular structure. tRNAs have two regions of fundamental functional importance: the anti-codon, which is responsible for specific mRNA codon recognition, and the 3' end, to which the tRNAs corresponding amino acid is attached (by aminoacyl-tRNA synthetases). tRNAs cope with the degeneracy of the genetic code in two manners: having more than one tRNA (with a specific anti-codon) for a particular amino acid; and 'wobble' base-pairing, i.e. permitting non-standard base-pairing at the 3rd anti-codon position. Lineage: Bacteria; Pseudomonadati; Candidatus Omnitrophota. The record is from RNAcentral.
GUGGAUGUAGCGCAGUGGUAGCGCUCCUGAUUGUGGUUCAGGCGGUCGCGGGUUCAAAUCCCGUCAUCCACCCCA